Molecule: ribosomal RNA, 1182 nt
Filed under: Triticum aestivum (bread wheat)
Lineage: Eukaryota; Viridiplantae; Streptophyta; Magnoliopsida; Poales; Poaceae
Description: partial small subunit ribosomal RNA
Source: RNAcentral
AUGCUCUGCCUCCGCCUCCGCCUCCGAUGUCGCGCCCUCUCCCAGCUCCUCUCAUCGUCCCCCUCCGCCUCUCCCAUCUCCCACCUCCUCGGCUACCACAGCCGCCUCCUCUCAGCGGCCGCGCCCGUCGUCUCCCCGAACCCUAGCUUCGCCGUCGAGGAGUACCUCGUCUCCACCUGCGGCCUCGCCCGAGCGCAGGCCUUCAAGGCCUCCGUCAAGCUCUCCCACCUCAAGUCCCCCUCCAACCCCGACGCCGUCCUCGCCUUCCUCGCCGGCCUCGGCCUCUCCGGCGCCGAUGUGGCCGCCCUGGUCGCCAGGAACCCCCAGGUGCUCUGCGCCGGCGUGGAGAGGACCCUGGCCCCCAACGUCGCCGCGCUCACCGGCCUCGGCCUCUCGCGCUCCGACAUCGCGCGCCUCGUCUCGGUUGCCGGCAACCACUUCUGCUGUAGAUCCAUCGUCGCCAAUAUACAGUACUGCCUGUGCCUGCUCGGGUCCUACGAGAAUCUCCUCUCUGCUAUCAAGCGCAAUUUCUACAUUCUCUCGUCCGACCUUGAGAGAGUGAUCAAGCCCAAUGUCGCAGUCCUGCGAGAGUUUGGGCUUGGUCCUUGUGAUAUUGCCAAGCUGUGUGCCUCUCAGCCAUGGUUGCUCACCUGCAACGUAGAGCGUAUCCGGGCGAUGGCGGUGAGCGUCCAAGGUCUGGGUGUGCCCCGUGGAUCUGGGAUGUUUAGGCAUGCGCUGGAUGCUGUUGCAUUCGUCAGCAAGGAGAAAAUCGCCGCCAAAGUGGAGCACCUGAAGAAAACAUUCAGGUGGUCGGAUGCUGAGGUGGGCAUUGCUGUUUGUAAGGCUCCACAGGUACUGCACAGGUCCAAGGAAUCGCUGCAGAGAAGGUCAGAGUUCCUCAUCUCCGAUUUGGGGUUGGAACCCGCAUACAUUGCUCGUCGCUCGGUGAUGCUCUUGUACAGCCUGGAGGGCCGGCUAAGGCCCCGGAGCUACGUCGUUAAGUUUCUUAAGGCAAAUGGAUUGCUAGAUCCCGACCGGGACUUGUAUACCGCAGUCACACUGAGUGAGAAGGUAUUCAUGGAGAAGUUCAUAUGCCCUCACAAGGAAGCUGCACCCCACCUUGCUGAAGAUUAUGCAGCAGCUUGCAGAGGGGAAUUGAUGGCUAAUUUCAGAUUUACAUGA